GGCAAAUCUACAAUACACAGCAUGAUAGCGCUGCAUACAUCAUCGUCAACUGCCUACUUAUAUGACCCUUAUUCAGCAAAUAGAUAGUAUUCGAGUCAAAUUGUACUUUCACUAUUUUCAGAAGACCCUACAUGAAAACAUGAUUAGAAAGGUUAUGGAUAAUGACCUAACCCGACCAUCCUCUCUGAGGACCACCUGAAGAAUGUCCAUUCAGCCUGUCGAGCACAGUAUUGAAAUCAACUGUCUGACCACUUUCUUCGAGCCUUUGGAUAACAUUAACCACAUGAUCACCCCUGUAGCCCAUGCUUGCCAGCUUCUCAAUUAAUUCAUUGUAAGGAUGAGUGCGCAUCAAUUGAGGUGGACGAAACAUAUGAUUGGGGCUCGGGGAGGACUGUGCGUUCUGGGGAGGGAAGCUGGAGGGAGGAUAACCACUUUGUGGGAAAUUUGGUGGUUGUGGUGGAUGUCCCCUUGGGCCUUCACUGUCGUACAUCAAAUAUGCAUUUCCUGCAGAAAGAGAUGGAUGAGGCCCACUAGCGGCAUACCCAUCCCCUGGAGCACCAAAAGAAGGCUUGAGAUGCUGGGUUGGAGGCUGUGACUGAAGUGGCCUGCCAGACCUAUCAUACCCAUAGGGUAUUGCUUCUGGACGGCUUGAAACUGAUUGAGGGAUCGUGGAAAAUGACACUUGCAUUGGCAUGCUAUUGGGGACAGGUUCAGGAGAAGAAUUCGGUUGACUGGGUGGAUAAGAAGGAUAAACAGCAGGUGAUGAGGGUCUAGCUUGCUGUUGCACACUUGGAAGCUGAUGCUGCUGGGAUGCUUGAACCUGCUGAGGUACCUGUUGCGCCCAUUGCUGCUGCUGAUAUUGGGGCAUUGACUGGAUUUGUGGGGUCUGAUUCCCCGGAGGUGCUGCUGGCUGGGGUGGUAACCUAGAAAGAUCUUGCAUUUGAGAAGUACGAUACUGGGGGUCAGAUGAAAGAUAUUGACCUUGGGACAAGUGAGUUGGAGCUGGUGGAUUUGACAUCUGCACUGGGGGUAAAUAGUAACCUUGCGACUGCGUCAUACUUUGAGAUGGAAUUGGUGGUGGAGGUGCCUGUUGUGGCUGUUCGACGGGUUGGUUAGUAAGAGGAGCCCGGGGUGCUACUUGAUGCGGUAGAGCAAGUGCCAGUUGUUGUCCAUUCACAUCAGUUGAGUUGUCACCUUUAUUGGAAUCAGAUACAGGUUGAGCAUUUCUGUCCUCAUUCUGCUGAGAAUUGUUAGCUGAAGCUGGUUCUUUCGGCGCAAACUGAAGCUUAGCCAGCUCCUUCUGAGUUUCAGCAAGUUCUUGCUUAUCUCUCAGAAUCUGUACAGAUCUGUGGACCUCUUGAACAUGCUUCUCAAGAGCCUUCAGUUUCAAAUCUGCCUCACCAUGAUCUCGAACUAAA
Molecule: unclassified non-coding RNA, 1418 nt
Filed under: Hevea brasiliensis (rubber tree)
Lineage: Eukaryota; Viridiplantae; Streptophyta; Magnoliopsida; Malpighiales; Euphorbiaceae
Source: RNAcentral